GCAAGAGCAGCUUUCAGGAAAAUACUGAAUCAUAGUUUACAGAAUGAUAAAUGAACAAUAAUUAUUAACAAUGAUGAAACUUACAAUAGACUCUAAAAACCCUUAUGCAUCUGUUUCUGCAAUCAGGAUAUGCCGAGCAGCGGAAACAGGGCACACUUCUCCUUAGACAGUAUUUGAAUUAAGUUACAGCUAAGUCAUUCAUUCUGCUCUUUAAGGUGAAUUUCACUGAUUUCAUCCAGCAAAUAUUUUUCUCACAGAAAGCAGAACUUAUUUUCUUAAUAAAAACACAAUUGUUGGGAAGAAAAGAACUGGAGCAUGUAGUAAACACACAGUUUGAGAAAGAUGGAAACAGAAGUGGAAAUUCUCCCUCGCCCAGAUGCCGGUCAUCUGAGCAUGUUCAGCUGAACUUUAUUUAUUAUGUCACAAUCAUAUUCUUGAAAAUGAGGUGGCAGUGACUAUGAGAAGAAACAGGACAUAGGAUAUGCUGUGAAGGCAGAAAUGUCCGAUGGUGACCACAGAUUAUGCAGGGACUAAAUAACAGCAAUGAAUCAUCUGAGCAGAAUAAGGACACACCCUCCUAGCCACCCACCCUCCACAUUCUACUUUCCUGAAUUUAAUAAAUUGGAGUGAAAAAUUGAAUUCUAAAUGCUACACCACAAUAAAGACAAAUCACUCAAGACAAAAUGAAAAUACAGAAAAUCAGAAAACCAAACCUAUUUAUUGAGGAUCUCAACUCUGCCUGCAUAACAGAACUAUCUAGAAUGCUGAAGCCCUGAUGGAAGAUGAAUAGAAACCGGACACUCCCACAGAGGGCUGGUUAGCUGGUGCACCAUCCCAUUUGCUCUUGGACUCUGCUCACUUCACCUCUCGGUGUGACUUUGCGAUGGCUGGAGCUGUGCCAGGCCUGCUACCCCUGGACACCUGAUGAUAUCAAGAGGACUAAGGGCCCCUGAAAUUUCAGAAAUGCUGAAUCCGUGGCAAAAGAGAUGUUAUUGGUGCCCUGAGUUCUUGUAAUCUCCAAGGAGAGAAAUCAAGAGGGAUCACCAGACAUAGCAGCCAAAAAGAAAGAGAAAAAUUUAUUUUAGCUUGUGUGCAAGGAAGUCAGCACUGCAAAAGGAAAAGCAACAAGGAACUCUCUAAUUCCUAUCUGACAGUUCACAGAGAUGUGAAUCGUGGAUGCUCCUUCAAUUGUCUGUGCUUAUGGAAGGUGCUAGGAAACUGAGCACCCAUGUCUAAUCUCCAGCUCCUAUUUUGGACACUAAAAGUGCUGCUCUACAAGGAAUAUGGAGAAUCCAUUCAACUUUUGCGUUGUAUUCCACUGAUACACACAAUGUUCUUUAAAUCUCGUGGUCAGAAAAAUGCUGUGUGCUUCACUAGUUGACAUUUCAUCUAUAUUUUCCAGUGACAUUUGUUUUAACACUUUACAUAGCAAUGGACCAAAAAAAAAAUACAUAUCUCUCUAGCCAAGACCAGUAUGAGCCACGUAAGACUCACAGGAAAGCAAUUAACUUAGUACUCUGAAAGUGACAUUUUAAAAAUUUUUUUUCAACAGUUAUUUAGAAGAAAGGCUAAGAGCAGUAUGUGGAAAGCUAAAAACAUAAAAAAAAAAAUUUACCUCAUCACUGU
This 1626-nucleotide long non-coding RNA is filed under the name Homo sapiens (human). RNAcentral describes it as "HSALNT0337958". Lineage: Eukaryota; Metazoa; Chordata; Mammalia; Primates; Hominidae. The record is from RNAcentral.